UACGGGGGGGGCAAGCGUUGUUCGGAAUUACUGGGCGUAAAGGGCUCGUAGGUGGCCAACUAAGUCAGACGUGAAAUCCCUCGGCUUAACCGGGGAACUGCGUCUGAUACUGGAUGGCUUGAGUUUGGGAGAGGGACGCGGAAUUCCAGGUGUAGCGGUGAAAUGCGUAGAUACUGGGAGGAACACCGGUGGCGAAGGCGGCUACCUGGACCGGAACUGACGCUGAGGCGCGAAAGCGUGGGUAGCAAACAGG
This 253-nucleotide ribosomal RNA is filed under the name uncultured bacterium. RNAcentral describes it as "partial 16S ribosomal RNA". It matches the Rfam family "Bacterial small subunit ribosomal RNA", at positions 524 to 776 of the family's 1533-position model. The record is from RNAcentral.